This 854-nucleotide ribosomal RNA is filed under the name uncultured bacterium. Its description in RNAcentral is "bacterial SSU rRNA". It matches the Rfam family "Bacterial small subunit ribosomal RNA", at positions 571 to 1426 of the family's 1533-position model. The record is from RNAcentral.
GUAGGCGGUGUGGCAAGUCGGGAGUGAAAUCUCUGGGCUCAACUCAGAGACUGCUUCCGAAACUGCUGUGCUUGAGUGUGGGAGAGGCGCGUGGAAUUGCAGGUGUAGCGGUGAAAUGCGUAGAUAUCUGCAGGAACACCCGUGGCGAAAGCGGCGCGCUGGACCACUACUGACGCUGAGGAACGAAAGCUAGGGGAGCAAACAGGAUUAGAUACCCUGGUAGUCCUAGCCCUAAACGAUCAGGACUUGGGGUGCCACCCGUUCGGGUGUCGUCCCGGAGCUAACGCGUUAAGUCCUGCACCUGGGGAGUACGGUCGCAAGACUGAAACUCAAAGGAAUUGACGGGGGCCCGCACAAGCGGUGGAACAUGUGGUUCAAUUCGACGCUACGCGAGGAACCUUACCUGGGCUCGAAGCGCACCUGACUAGCUAUAGAAAUAUGGCCUUCCCGCAAGGGACAGGUGUGGAGGCGCUGCAUGGCUGUCGUCAGCUCGUGCCGUGAGGUGUUGGGUUAAGUCCCGCAACGAGCGCAACCCCUGCACGUAGUUGCCACCCGCAAGGGGGAACUCUACGUGGACUGCUCCGGAUAACGGAGAGGAAGGUGGGGAUGACGCCAAGUCCGCAUGGCCUUUAUGUCCAGGGCUACACACGUGUUACAAUGCAGGGCACAAACCGUUGCCAACCCGCGAGGGGGAGCUAAUCGGAAAAAACUCUGCUCAGUUCGGAUUGCAGUCUGCAACUCGACUGCAUGAAGCCGGAAUCGCUAGUAAUGGCGUAUCAGAUCGACGCCGUGAAUACGUUCCCGGGCCUUGUACACACCGCCCGUCACAUCACGAAAGUGAGCUGUACUAGAAG